AACGAACGCUGGCGGCGUGCCUAACACAUGCAAGUCGAACGAGAAAGGGGCUUCGGCUCCGAGUAAAGUGGCGCACGGGUGAGUAACACGUGGGUAACCUGCCUCUAAGAUUGGGAUAACUCGUCGAAAGAUGAGCUAAUACCGAAUAAGACCACAGUUCCCGCGGGAACAGGGGUCAAAGGUAGCCUCUGCUUGCAAGCUAUCACUUAGAGAUGGGCCUGCGCACCAUUAGCUAGUUGGUAGGGUAACGGCCUACCAAGGCAAAGAUGGUUAGCUGGUCUGAGAGGAUGAUCAGCCACACUGGAACUGAGACACGGUCCAGACUCCUACGGGAGGCAGCAGUGGGGAAUAUUGCGCAAUGGGCGAAAGCUUGACGCAGCAACGCUGCGUGAGUGAUGAAGGCCUUCGGGUCGUAAAGCUCUGUCGGGAGGAACGAAUGCUCCUGAGGUUAACAGCCUCGGGAGGUGACGGUACCUUCAAAGGAAGCACCGGCUAACUCUGUG
RNAcentral lists this ribosomal RNA (503 nucleotides) under uncultured bacterium. RNAcentral's name for it is "partial 16S ribosomal RNA". It matches the Rfam family "Bacterial small subunit ribosomal RNA", at positions 29 to 507 of the family's 1533-position model. The record is from RNAcentral.